CCAAACUUGGUCAUUUAGAGGAAGUAAAAGUCGUAACAAGGUUUCCGUAGGUGAACCUGCGGAAGGAUCAUUAGUGAAUAAACUUGUGUGGGUUGCUGCUGACCUCCUCGGGGUAUGUGCACACCUGCCAUUGUUUCAUUCUCCCUUCCACCUGUGCACUAACUGUAGACUGAGCUUGCUGCACCUUCAGCCACAUGCAUUUGUGGUUGGCGUGAGGACUGCUGACGCUGUUCUCGGGUGGCUUGGUCUAUGUAUUUAUCAACACCCCAUUGUAUGUGAUUGAAUGUCAUUCUGGGUUCUUUACCGACCCAUAAAAUGUUAUACAACUUUCAACAACGGAUCUCUUGGCUCUCGCAUCGAUGAAGAACGCAGC
Molecule: unclassified non-coding RNA, 373 nt
Filed under: uncultured fungus
Lineage: Eukaryota; Fungi
Description: partial contains small subunit ribosomal RNA, internal transcribed spacer 1, and 5.8S ribosomal RNA
Rfam family: Eukaryotic small subunit ribosomal RNA (bases 1-73)
Source: RNAcentral